UAAGCCCGAUGAACCUGAAUAUCCGAUAUGAAAAAUUCAUCAUUAAUAUUAUAUUAAUUAAAAUUUAAUAUAAAAAUAAUGUGCACUUUUUUCAUAAUAGGACAUUGUAAUCUAUUAAUCUUAUAAUAUAAAAUUUAUCAUAAGGUCUGUAAAAAUAGUUUAUUUUUUAUUUAACUUUUAUUAGUUAAUAAAAUAAAAUUUAUAACAGUACCAGAUAAAUGAUUGAUAGAUUUUUUCAUAUAUAACGCUCUACAUUAAUAUAUGUUAUAAUAUUUUAAUAACUAUAUGUUAUUAUUAAUUAUUAUAUGCGUUUAUAUGAUUACAAUGCGAUAGAUUUAGGAUACCUUCGGGA
Molecule: ribosomal RNA, 352 nt
Filed under: Trichophthalma sp. LRC-2002
Lineage: Eukaryota; Metazoa; Arthropoda; Insecta; Diptera; Nemestrinidae
Description: partial 28S ribosomal RNA
Source: RNAcentral